Pipistrellus kuhlii (Kuhl's pipistrelle) is the source of this 136-nucleotide small nucleolar RNA. RefSeq annotates it as small nucleolar RNA SNORA32. The record is from RefSeq and is a predicted model, not a curated record. NCBI's taxonomy places the organism in Eukaryota, Metazoa, Chordata, Mammalia, Chiroptera, Vespertilionidae. The transcript has a single exon.
UGGUCAUUACCAAGGCUUUUAGAAUGCAGUUUCCCAUUUGCCAUGGACAUGACCACAAAACAUUUCCCCAAUAGGUCUUUUUUUUUUUUUUUUCUGCUAUGUUGAUAGCACAACAUUCAGCCUACUGGGAACAUUA